UUAUUAUUAUUUUUUUAUUUUAAUCUCCUUUCAAUGGUGGUGAUAUUACAAUUGAUAUCUUUGGUGGAAGCUGGAACUAUAAAGCACUAAAGCUAUCUGAUAAUGGACUUGGAUGAAUAUUUGAGGCAAGGGUUAUCGACAUGGAAUGGAACAACUUUGCUGGUAUUUGGGUUGGAUUUUGUAUAGGGAAAUCAUUUUUUUUUUUGUUUUAAU
Molecule: unclassified non-coding RNA, 213 nt
Filed under: Hevea brasiliensis (rubber tree)
Lineage: Eukaryota; Viridiplantae; Streptophyta; Magnoliopsida; Malpighiales; Euphorbiaceae
Source: RNAcentral